UUCCAGUUGCAAAACUUUGUUCAGAAAUUUUACAUCUAAGUUACUUGGAGGGAGAAGUAAGGUUGUGCAGAGACCAGAUAAUGCCGCUCCAUUACAGGAUCCUCAUCCAGAGGAAUGGUCCUUUCGUAGACAAGAUGGGUCAUCUCACAACCAUUAAUGUAAUCAAGCUGAAGUUAAUGAGCUGUAUGAAUUUCAACAAAGGAGCAACUAACACAGAUCAUCACAAAUU
Molecule: long non-coding RNA, 229 nt
Organism: Mastomys coucha (southern multimammate mouse)
Lineage: Eukaryota; Metazoa; Chordata; Mammalia; Rodentia; Muridae
Exons: 4
Source: RefSeq, a predicted model, not a curated record